RNAcentral lists this ribosomal RNA (255 nucleotides) under uncultured bacterium. RNAcentral's name for it is "partial 16S ribosomal RNA". It matches the Rfam family "Bacterial small subunit ribosomal RNA", at positions 62 to 323 of the family's 1533-position model. The record is from RNAcentral.
UCGACGGAGCACAGCAAUGUUGUUUAGUGGCGAACGGUCGCGUAACACGUAAGGAACCUGCCCUGAAGUGGGGGAUAACAGCCCGAAAGGGUUGCUAAUACCGCAUGAGAACCACCGCUCGCAUGUGUGGUGGUUGAAAGCCUUGUGCGCUUCAGGAUGGUCUUGCGGCCUAUCAGCUUGUUGGUGGGGUAAUGGCCUACCAAGGCUUUGACGGGUAGCUGGUCUGAGAGGACGAUCAGCCGGAUUGGGACUGAG